UGAAAUAGAGGUAGAAAAGGUUCUCUACACGCUUAGAUGCGUUAGGCAUAUGUCUUAUCUAAGUUACCAGAGAUGUGGGGAGGAAUGGAAUUUUCCACUCGUCAAUGCCGUCCCACCUAUUUCA
Molecule: non-coding RNA, 124 nt
Filed under: unclassified sequences
Description: skipping-rope RNA
Rfam family: skipping-rope RNA
About the family: Firmicutes, Fusobacteria, AlphaProteobacteria, Spirochaetes. Downstream gene
Source: Rfam by way of RNAcentral